AUUCCAAGCUUCGCGGCCUAUCAGCUUGUUGGUGGGGUAACGGCCUACCAAGGCGGUGACGGGUAGCCGGCCUGAGAGGGUGUACGGCCACAUUGGGACUGAGAUACGGCCCAGACUCCUACGGGAGGCAGCAGUGGGGAAUAUUGCACAAUGGGCGCAAGCCUGAUGCAGCGACGCCGCGUGGGGGAUGAAGGCCUUCGGGUUGUAAACUCCUUUCGCUAGGGACGAAGCUUUGUGUGACGGUACCUAGAUAAGAAGCACCGGCUAACUACGUGCCAGCAGCCGCGGUAAUACGUAGGGUGCGAGCGUUGUCCGGAAUUACUGGGCGUAAAGGGCUCGUAGGUGGUUUGUCGCGUCGUCUGUGAAAUUCUGGGGCUUAACUCCGGGCGUGCAGGCGAUACGGGCAUAACUUGAGUACUGUAGGGGUAACUGGAAUUCCUGGUGUAGCGGUGAAAUGCGCAGAUAUCAGGAGGAACACCGAUGGCGAAGGCAGGUUACUGGGCAGUUACUGACGCUGAGGAGCGAAAGCAUGGGUAGCGAACAGGAUUAGAUACCCUGGUAGUCCAUGCCGUAAACGGUGGGCGCUAGGUGUGAGGGUCUUUCUACGACUUUCGUGCCGUAGCUAACGCAUUAAGCGCCCCGCCUGGGGAGUACGGAGAUC
RNAcentral lists this ribosomal RNA (661 nucleotides) under uncultured Corynebacterium sp. RNAcentral describes it as "bacterial SSU rRNA". It matches the Rfam family "Bacterial small subunit ribosomal RNA", at positions 221 to 890 of the family's 1533-position model. Lineage: Bacteria; Bacillati; Actinomycetota; Actinomycetes; Mycobacteriales; Corynebacteriaceae. The record is from RNAcentral.